This 726-nucleotide ribosomal RNA is filed under the name Miconia pleiorosea. Its description in RNAcentral is "eukaryotic LSU rRNA". The stretch from base 315 to 481 matches the Rfam family "5.8S ribosomal RNA". The record is from RNAcentral. Lineage: Eukaryota; Viridiplantae; Streptophyta; Magnoliopsida; Myrtales; Melastomataceae.
UAGAGGAAGGAGAAGUCGUAACAAGGUUUCCGUAGGUGAACCUGCGGAAGGAUCAUUGUCGAAAUCGAACGGAAGAACGACACGCGAAUCGUCAUUGCGUACUAGACAGAGCCCGUGAGCACCUAACGCUCACGGGGCUCGCGUCGCGUCGGAGCGGGUGUCCUCGAGACGCGUCGUACCGGCGGACAAACAAUGUCAGCACGGAUCGUGCCAAGGAGCUUUAUUGAGAGAAUCGUCGUCCCACGCCUUUGACAGUCCUCGAUGCGGGACGGGGGGCGGGGGGGAUGUACGCAAUCUCUACCCAAAGUCUGAACGACUCUCGGCAACGGAUAUCUCGGCUCUUGCAUCGAUGAAGAACGUAGCGAAAUGCGAUACUUGGUGUGAAUUGCAGAAUCCCGCGAACCAUCAAUUCUUUGAACGCAAAUCCCCUUGCCCCUAGGCACCCGCAUGAGCAUUGGCGGGGACAUAUGCUCGGGCGCAGAAUAUGGUCUCCCGUGGSAUCGGCAUGCACGGCAYGUCGAGGUGCGGUUSGCCGAAAAUCGAGCAUGGCGGUGACGGGCACSACGGCGUUCGGUGGAUCGAAUGAGAUUGGVUGCGCCGUGGGCUCGGCAUGCGGCGGGCUCCGGACUUUGAUUAUCCUCGAGUGCGAUCCCAGGUCAGGCGGGGCUACCCGCUGAGUUUAAGCAUAUCAAUAAGCGGAGGAAAAGAAACUAACGAGGAUUCCCU